GGCUCAGAUGAACGCUGGCGGCAGGCCUAACACAUGCAAGUCGAACGGUAACAGGAAGCAGCUUGCUGCUUGCUGACGAGUGGCGGACGGGUGAGUAAUGUCUGGGAAACUGCCUGAUGGAGGGGGAUAACUACUGGAAACGGUAGCUAAUACCGCAUAACGUCGCAAGACCAAGGAGGGGGACCUUCGGGCCUCUUGCCAUCAGAUGUGCCCAGAUGGGAUUAGCUUGUUGGUGGGGUAACGGCUCACCAAGGCGACGAUCCCUAGCUGGUCUGAGAGGAUGACCAGCCACACUGGAACUGAGACACGGUCCAGACUCCUACGGGAGGCAGCAGUGGGGAAUAUUGCACAAUGGGCGCAAGCCUGAUGCAGCCAUGCCGCCGUGUAUGAAGAAGGCCUUCGGGUUGUAAAGUACUUUCAGCGGGGAGGAAGGUGUUGUGGUUAAUAACCACAGCAAUUGACGUUACCCGCAGAAGAAGCACCGGCUAACUCCGUGCCAGCCGCCGC
This 507-nucleotide ribosomal RNA is filed under the name uncultured bacterium. Its description in RNAcentral is "bacterial SSU rRNA". It matches the Rfam family "Bacterial small subunit ribosomal RNA", at positions 21 to 518 of the family's 1533-position model. The record is from RNAcentral.